This 30-nucleotide ribosomal RNA is filed under the name Brassica oleracea var. botrytis. Its description in RNAcentral is "partial small subunit ribosomal RNA". Lineage: Eukaryota; Viridiplantae; Streptophyta; Magnoliopsida; Brassicales; Brassicaceae. The record is from RNAcentral.
AAUAUUUGUAAGAUAUAGACAUUCGAUAUC